GAUGAAGAACGUAGCGAAAUGCGAUACUUGGUGUGAAUUGCAGAAUCCCGUGAACCAUCGAGUCUUUGAACGCAAGUUGCGCCCGAAGCCAUUAGGCCGAGGGCACGCCUGCCUGGGCGUCACACGUCGUUGCCCCCCCAUCUACUCCUUCGGGAUUGCGGGGGGCGGAUGAUGGCCUCCCGUGCGCCUAGUCGCGCGGUUGGCAUAAGAGCCAAGUCCUCGGCGACGCACGCCACGACAAUCGGUGGUUGCGAAACCUCGGUUGCCCGUCGUGUGCGGUCGUCGCGCAUCGAGGGCUCGAAAAAAUUGCCGGGCUCCGGCUCGGCUUUCAACGCGACCCCAGGUCAGGCGGGGUUACCCGCUGAAUUUAAGCAUAUCAAUAAGCGGAGGA
Molecule: unclassified non-coding RNA, 391 nt
Filed under: soil metagenome
Description: partial contains 5.8S ribosomal RNA, internal transcribed spacer 2, and large subunit ribosomal RNA
Rfam family: 5.8S ribosomal RNA (bases 1-122)
Source: RNAcentral